This 484-nucleotide ribosomal RNA is filed under the name uncultured bacterium. Its description in RNAcentral is "partial 16S ribosomal RNA". It matches the Rfam family "Bacterial small subunit ribosomal RNA", at positions 28 to 523 of the family's 1533-position model. The record is from RNAcentral.
GACGAACGCUGGCGGCGUGCUUAACACAUGCAAGUCGAACGAUGAUGCUGGAGCUUGCUCCAGUUGAUUAGUGGCGAACGGGUGAGUAACACGUGAGCAAUCUGCCCUUGACUCUGGGAUAACUGCGGGAAACUGUAGCUAAUACCGGAUACUUUCACCGGAAGGCAUCUUCUGGUGAUGAAAGAAUUUCGGUCAGGGAUGAGCUCGCGGCCUAUCAGCUUGUUGGUGAGGUAACGGCUCACCAAGGCGACGACGGGUAACCGGCCUGAGAGGGGGACCGGUCAGACUGGGACUGAGACACGGCCCAGACUCCUACGGGAGGCAGCAGUGGGGAAGAUUGCACAAUGGGCGCAAGCCUGAUGCAGAAACGCCGCGUGAGGGAUGAAGGCCUUCGGGUUGUAAACCUCUUUUAGCAGGGAAGAAGCGAAAGUGACGGUACCUGCAGAAAAAGCACCGGCUAACUACGUGCCAGCCGCCGCGGUAA